CUUGGCAACUGAGUGGAUAUACAGGCAGGCCAAGGGGAAAGCCCUUUUUAAUUUUCAACAGGACACACCUGGCAAUGGAUGUGACAUUCAGCACUGCCCAGGUUUCUCCCACUUAGAGGAGGCAAACUGGUGAAUGGAAGGAGGCAAUCCUCUGGCAGUGGGAUGCUAAGGAGCAAUAAUAAGGCAAGUUUGCCUGCUUGAAGGCUGCUGGUAUCUGUGGUUGGAAACUGGCGGACGUCUCAUGAUGAAUCUAACAGUAGUUUCUGAUGCAACGGAACAACGUGAGGGAAACCAGAGCACACGGAAACGCCAUUCACCUUCCCACCACAGUGGUACCUAUUUAUCUACUUGCACUGGUGUGCUUUCAAACUGCUAGGUAGGCAGGAGCUGGGACAGAGCAAUGGGAGCUCACCCCAUUUUGUGGAUUCAAACUGCCAACCUUCCGAUCCCAAAGCCCAAGAGGCUCAAUGGUUUGCACCACAGUGCCUUAGAGAGUUAUAGAGUCAUAGAAUUGUUGUAGUGCAGGGUCUAAAUAAUAACUUGUUAUUAUUAUAGAGUUGGAAGGGGGCCGAGGGUCAUCUAGUCCAAUCCCCUGCAAUGCAGGAAUUCUGCCCACAGCCAUCUCUGGGUGGGCUCGAACCACCAACCUUCUGGUUAACAGCCAGGCACACUGACCCAUCACGCCACAGGAGGUCUCCGGUUCUGAAUGGUUGCAGUGCAUUUUCUCACAAAGUGAUAGCUUUGUGUCAGAUAAGUCACUAUGUCAUGGUUAUCGCUAGCAACUGCUUUCAGGCUAUGUGUCCAGGGCAGCUGUUUACCAUCUCCAUCUGGUACGCAGGCUGAGACCCUACCUGCCCACAGACUGUCUCACCAGAGUGGUGCAUGCUCUAGUUAUCUCUUGCUUGGACUCCUGCAAUGCUCUCUAUGUGGGGCUACCUUUGAAGGUGACCCGGAAACUACAACUAAUCCAGAAUGCGGCAGCUAGACUGGUGACUGGGAGUGGCCCUCGAGACCAUAUAACACCGGUCCUGAAAGACCUACAUUGGCUCCCGGUACGUUCCCAAGCACAAUUCAAAGUGUUAGUGCUGACCUUUAAAGCCCUACUCAGCCUCGGUCCAGUAUACCUGGUAAUUUGCAUCCCCUUCAUUCUAAUUCAAGCCUUCUGUUUCCGAUUGCAGUGUUCUGAACUGAUAUUUGGAGCUUAUAUUUUGUGCUUUUGUUUUUGCUAUUUAUUUUGCAUAUUUUCUUUUGAGGCUUUUUCAGUUAAUUUGUUUUUGUGACUAUGUGGAUCCCAGUUCAGCUACUGAUUGAUUGAUUGAUUGAUUGAUUGACUCACUGACUGCUGAAAUGCCUAAAAGCCCCCCAUCCAAACAAUGACUAUAAUCAGCGUAGGUUAGAAAAGAAAAUAAUUUUAAUUUUUAUCAUCUACAAUUCUGUUAUAUUUAUUUUAUAGUACAGUACAUUGAUUAUUGCUUUCAUUUUAUGGAUCAAUGGUCUUGUUAGAUAGUAGAAUUCAUGUUAAAUUGCUGUUUUAGGGUUGUUUUUAAAAGUCUGGAAUGGAUUAAUUAGUUUUGCAUUACUUUCUAUGGGAAAGCGCGCCUUAGUUUUGGAAUGCUUUGGUUUUGGAACAGGCUUCCGGAACUGAUUAAGUUUGAUUACCAAGGUACCACUGUAUUCUCAACCUUCACCCUUCUUAAGCUAAAUUGAAUGUUCUCCCUGACGCCUAUGAAAAUAUCACUAAUAAUUAUAAAACAGAAUAUUUGGUCAUGAGAGCAGAAGUACUAAUAGCGAGGGCUGCAGUUUGAAAGAUACUGGAGACUUGUCUUGUCUUUUGUGUUACAUGCUGAAUUUAAGAAUGACAUUGCCCUCUUGUGGUUAAACAUUGAAGUGGGAAUUUGAAAGCGCUAUAUAAUAUUGCAAUGGGCCUUUUCACUCACGGCUGAGGAGUGGCCAGGCACUUAUCAACUCUGCCUCAUAAAGACAUCCAAAAACCUCCCUGUAAACUUUUGGUCUGUGCAUCUCUCACAAAAUAUGUGGCACCUUGGCAUCAUCUAGGAUCGGCCUUCCUGAUUUGUUUACAGUGAGUUCAGAUAGCAAAUAACUGUAAUUCCUCUGAGGUUUGGCAAACUGAAACCUUCCUAAAAGGAAACACAUUUUCACUUACGAGAGGCGAUCCAACAGAAAAACGAGAAGGAUAUUGGAAGAACUGGGGAGAGAAAAGUUUCUGUUUGACUUUCUAAAACUGAUGUGAAAAUUAUUUUUAUUAUUUUUAAGCAAGGACACAAACCAACUUACACAACCAGAAAUGGUUAGCACCAAAUAGAUCCUCCCACCCAAAUGGUCGGUGGUGUAUUUUGAAAGCUAUUUAACUGAGAACAACAUUGGACGAGGUACAGCAGAACCAAACUGUAACAUAUGGCCAUGGUUUUGUGGAACACAUGGAAAAAUCUGGAACGAAGCUCCCCAAAGAAUAUCGCUUAAAGUGCAAAACAUGCUUGCUAACUCGCAGACACAGAAGCAGGAUAUUUGGAUUCUGAGGGGUAGAACGGCAGUUUUGACAGAGUAAAGGAACUGGAAAAUUGUCAGUCCUCUGGAUCAGGACUGCAAUACCUCAAGGACCGCCUCUUUCCAUAUGAACCUACCCAGACCCUGAGAUCAUCUUCUGAGGCCCUCCUUCAUGUGCCUCUUCCUCGAGAGGUCCAGAGGGUAGCAACAUGAGAACGGGACGGGGCCUUCUCUGCAGUGGCUCCCCGUCUGUGGAAUGUUCUCCCCAGGGAAGUUCGCUUGGCAACUUCAUUAUACACCUUUAGGCACCAGGCAAAAACAUUAUUUUUUAACCAGGCCUUUGGUUGAUUUGAUUGACAUCCCAUGCCCUUCUAAAAUGUGGUAGUUGUUUGAGGGGGUGUUAUUGAGUUGUUGUUACUUUUAUUUUCAAUAUGUAUUUUGUGGUUUUAUAUCUUGAUUUUAUUCUGUGAACCGCCCCGAGACCCCCAGGCAUAGGGCAGUAUAAAUUCAAUUAAUAAUAAUAAUAAUAAUAAUAAUAAUAAUAAUAUAGGAUUGGGUGUGCUGACCAGACUGGAUACAAGACGACCAUCAGCAAACUCACUUCUCCGGGUUGAGAGUUGUGCCUGGCUGCUGUGUGUCUGAAAAUAUGUGGAACUGAAAAUAUGUGGAAAUGUAUCAUAAGGACUACAGUAAAUGAAUUUUGUAUCCACUCUGAGGCCUGCGAGAUGCAGCUGCCAGUUGCUGCCACAAAGAGAUAAUCAAGAGAUGUCAGAAAACACUAAAUUAUGUCACGCGGAUGCAUCUUUCCUGUCUUGGGAUGGCGAGAAGGCUCACAGAGAUGCUGGCUCAUCAGUUUUACACUACUAAUAAACGAGUAGACAUGCUGUGGCCGAUUAUUUUCUAGAAUUCUUACGGGGUUAUUUAUGCGCCAGGUGCGCCAGGAGAUGCAACAGGUGCGCAGCUCAGGAGGAGCUACAAAGGGUGAGGUGCCCACCAGGUUUGCUCAGGAGUUUGCUAGCACAGCUGUUGCAGAUUUAGCUGUGGUUAGUGGCUUGACACAGGUCUUGAAACCCGGGGUCUUGAAAGGGGUAUAGGGUUUGUCCUCAAGGGACGGGAAACCACACCCAAAGACUGUAAGGGUAGACAUUGUUGCCUUGGAGGAGGGAACUGGACCACGUCCAGAGGCCUUGUGUGCCAACACUGAUUCCUCAGAGAGGACCGAGGCUAGGGUUCGAGUCCCAACAAAGCCAGAUGUGAGACUUCCUGAUAGUCAGUAGGGUUAUGAUGCCAAGACUAGUCAGAUGUGCAAGAUGGUGAGGCCCAAGGCUAAUCCAGUUGCAGGUAGUUCCAAGGGUGGAACGGGUGAUACAGGGGUACACUGUGUGUAUGACAUCUGUAUGGUUGUUGCAGUUACACUGAUGACUGCAACACAGAUCAUGAAUUGGGGGAGGAUGUUAGAAUUCCUGCUCCAUGACUGUAGUCCUGGAAUUGUUGUCUAUCAUAUGACGGUGUAUGUUUUGACACCACUGAGUGGGAAGUGACGGAGACAGGAUGUUUGUGUUACUGUGUUCCGUGAAGUGGGACUAUUGUCCUUUGUUCUUUUUCUCUUUGCUGUCUGAUGCUAGAGAAAGAGGGAGCCAUGUUGCAGUGCUCUGUGUGUGUUUAUAUGCAAAUAAAAGUAGAUUAGCCAAAAUGCUGAGUUGCUGAGGUCUGUUACGCAUGAUGCGCAAACUCUGCGGAUCCCUAAGUGUGCCGGUGUCUGUUGGCAUCGGUCGCUGUGAUGUUCAGGCAGAAGAAAGCUUUUGAAGCUCCCGAACGAUCGACCAGGAGGGAGAGAACAUGCCAGUCAGGCAUGUGUCUCUGCCAGGGUCUUACUCAAGUGUAGGCUGAAUUCCUGACAAUUUACGUGCUAUUCAAGCUUUCAGCUUUUGGGUUAAAUUAAUACGCUUGGGAAGAGAGUGGGGACCAUUGUGCUAGCUCUCCCCUCGCUGCCCUCCUUUGGGGGCCACCGUCUACAGCAGGAAGCCUGCUCUACUCAAGUAGAUUCCAAGAUUGCAGAGGGUUGGACUAGAUGCCCUUGGGGUUCCCUUCCAACUCUGCAAUUCUGCGAUUCUAUGAUUCUAAGUAGGUUCUGUGCUUAAUGUAGAAGCCCCGGGGUGAGGCAUCCUUCUUCGCUGGGCAGUACAGUGGUACCUCGGGUUAAGUACUUAAUUUGUUCUGAAGGUCUGUUCUUAACCUGAAACUGUUCUUAACCUGAAACACCACUUUAGUUAAUGGGGCCUCCUGCUGCUGCCGCGCCGCUGCUGCAUGAUUUCUGUUCUCAUCCUGAAGCAAAGUUCUUAACCCGAGGUACUAUUUCUGGGUUAGCGGAGUCUGUAACCUGAAGCGUAUGUAACCCGAGGUACCACUGUAUCUGCUGGAAGUGGGAGCACAGAAAAAGCCAUUCAGUAUGGCAUUCCAGUCAGGCAGACUGAGUUCAUCCCAACAAUAUAUUUCCUGGAGUCUCCUGGAGUGCAGGAAUUCAGAGAUGCAAGAACAGACUUACAGUGGAGAAAACAAAAAAUGCAGAAUUGUUCUAUCUAUCAACAUCGCAGUGCAUGAAAUCACAAAGAUGUGAGCCGGGAGUCCGAGACAGUUAUAGCCUCAAAAAGGGCAAGAGAAUGCUGUGAUCCCGGAAUAGCAAUUUCUGGGUGCACAAAAGAAGACGUUUCUCUUUUCAGCUAGGAUUCUCUAUGUACAAAAAUGGAAGCAGAAAUACUAAGCAAAGCAGAGUAGAUAAGUAAGGUGAUGGAUUAUGCAGAAGUGGUAAGGUUAGCAGCUCAAAUAAGAGAACCUAAUGCCGAAGGUUUUGUGGAAGAAUUUUCAGAUUAUUUGAAGAAACAUUAUUAUAUGAUGAACACGUGAGCAGGAUUUGAGCUACAAGCAACAGAAGGGAUUAAAGAUUAUUGUAGUUCUGCUAAGGUUGAAGAGAUCGAAAACAGGCUGCCUCAGAGGUAGAGAAAUAGAAUCACCAUGGAAAAGGGGAGUGGGAAGUCGGAAGUUAUUAUGUAUUGAAAUGUAUGUGUGAAUUUUUGGAAAACCUAAGGAAAAAAACUUCUGAAGAAAAAGUUGUUCCUCUUUUCUACUUAGCAGUUUCACAAAAGAGAGUGGGACUUGGUUUCCUAGUCAUAUUUAAAGUACUUCUUGUAAAAGGCAUUCAAAAACUCAGAGCUCUUCACUGCCAAUAAUAUGGUGUUGCUUCAGAGUGGAGAAAGAUGGAGCAUUAAUGAUUUUAGGAGGUCAACACCAGUGCAUACAAUUCAAAGUGCUGGGUUUGACCUAUAAAGCCUUAAACAACUCAGGACCGCAAUGCCUCAAGGACCGCUUCUUUCCAUAUGAACCUACCCGGACCCUGAGAUCAUCUUCUGAGGCCCUCCUUUGUGUGCCUCCUCCUCGAGAGGUCCAGAAGGUGGCAACAUGAGAACGGGGCCUUCUUUGCAGUGGCUCCCCGUCUGUGGAAUGCUCUCCCCAGGGACAUUCGUCUGGGGCCUUCAUUAUACACCUUUAGGCGUCAGGCUAAACAUUUUAAUGGGGAAUUUCAGUGGGAACCUUCAAGUGUGUUUUGUCCUAAUCUGCUCCAUUUCUCUGGCCUUCCUUUCCAGACAAAAUGGAAAUUGUUGGGCUAAGGCAAAGUAUAAGGGUACAUAAAAUAGUGGCAGAAUACUGCUCUCUGGCUGCAGGUCUGGAAUGACUUCAGAAAGUGAAUGGAUAUGCAUUUUCUAAGUGUCUUUAAAAUAUAUGGAUGAGCACUUACCUUUCAAACACUAACACUUCCUGCCUUGCACCUCUAUCUUCCAUAUAAUUAACUUGAGGGGGAAAACCACUUCAAAAAGAGGGAAAUUGAGGAAAUGAAUAUAUUUCCUUUUUUUUUUAAUGUAGCCCCCACCCCUGAAUAAUAAACAAAUUUUGGAAGAUGUCACUGUUUGGACUGAAAACGGCAAAGUGAGAGCUAAGAAGAUUCUGUGGCACUUUUGCACAAAGAAUCGACAUUAAAAGAAAUUGCCUUUCUCUUUGAAUGCAACAGAGGAGAGAGACCUGAAAGGCAAUUUCCACUUUUCUGAGAAAACAGCUUCAUAGAAGACUAGGCAUAUAAUGCACCAAGCUGUAUUUGAAGAACCACGGAUCUAUCUAAUGAAAACAAAAUAGGAGAGCUCCCUUUAAAUCAAUCCAUAGCUUUGGAGACGCUUCUUGCUUCCUUGCCAAUGUAGGGAAUUUAAACUGAGGAUGUUUGCAGUGCUGAAAAUUUCUCUGUUUCCCCCACCAACCUUCCUCCAUCCAUUAAUAUCACAACUGGAGAGAGACCUGUUUGAAUGUAAUGUAAAAGUGCUGUCUAAAAUGUAUAAGAUAUUAUUGGAAUGGGAGAGGAAGGAUGAGCAAGUAAAAUCCUCAGUGAUAUAUUGGGCAAUAGAUAUCGGUCAUAAUAUAGACAUGGAAGCAUGGGAACUAUUGCGGAAUAUGGAUAUAAAAUUUACAGCAUGUUAUAGUCUAAGAGAAAAUAUAUGAAAAUGAUAUAUCGCUGGUACCUAACACUGAGUAAACUGUCAAAAAUGUAUAAAUUUAAAUCAAGUAAGUGUCGGAAAUGUAAAGAGAAAGAAGGUUCUGUUUAUCAUAUGUGGUGGUCUUGCAGUAAGCUUACUGGGAAAUGAUAUAUAAUGAAUUGAAAAGGAUGUUCAAAAUAACGUUUGUAAAAAAACUCAGAAGCUUUUCUUUGGGGAAUUAUAGGGCUAGAACUACCGAAACUGUAUAGAAACUUAUUUAUGUAUGCUACCACAGUGGCAACAAAGUUACUUGCCCCAAAAUGGAAAGAAUCAAAAGUCCCAGUAAAGGAAGAAUGGAUAUAAAAACUUAUGGAAUAUGCAGAAAUGGUGAAACUUACCAGAAGAAUAAGAAACAUUUUAUAAAAGAAUGGAAAUGGUUUUUUGAAUAUUUACAGACAAAUUGCAAAGAGAUAAGAACAUUGCCAGGAUUAUUGUAAUAACCUGCAGUUUGAUAACAGUAUAUAUUUAAAGUAGAUGAAAAAAUGAGCAAAUUAAGUUAAUUUGGAUAUGCAGAAGAUAUUAAAAAUAAAUUUAAGGAGCUACAGAAAGAGAGGGAAGGAAUUUGUUAGGUACCUUUAUUUUAUUGUAUAGUAAUUAAAAUGUUCAAAGUAUUACAGAAAAAGCUUCCAUUAAAAUUAUUUUAUAUUUAUGCAUUUCAGUUUUGCAUUAUAUGUUUUGAAACUUUAUUUGCUAUUUUUUCAUAUCUCUUCAUAUUAUUGUUAUUAAACAAUUUCUUCCUCAGUACUUCAACUGUCCUUUCGUUCUUUUAUUUCUCUUUCAUGGAUGCCAUGUUCUGUGGAAGCUUGUGUAGACCAAGUUAAUGGCCUUUUAGGCUUCCUCCACAUAGAAUCAUAGAGUUGGAAGAGACCACAAGGGCCAUCGAGUCCAACCCCCUGCCAAGCAGGAAACACCAUCAGAGCACUCCUGACAUAUGGUUGUCAAGCCUCUGCUUAAAGACCUCCAAAGAAGGAGACUCCACCACACUCCUUGGCAGCAAAUUCCACUGUCGAACAGCUCUUACUCUCAGGAAGUUCUUCCUAAUGUUUAGGUGGAAACUUCUUUCUUGUAGUUUGGAUCCAUUGCUCCGUGUCCGCUUCUCUGGAGCAGCAGAAAACAACCUUUCUCCCUCCUCUAUGUGACAUCCUUUUAUAUAUUUGAACAUGGCUAUCAUAUCACCCCUUAACCUCCUCUUCUCCAGGCUAAACAUGCCCAGCUCCCUUAGCCGUUCCUCAUAAGGCAUCGUUUCCAGGCCUUUGACCAUUUUGGUUGCCCUCCUCUGGACACGUUCCAGUUUGUCAGUGUCCUUCUUGAACUGUGGUGCCCAGAACUGGACACAGUACUCCAGGUGAGGUCUGACCAGAGCAGAAUACAGUGGCACUAUUACUUCCCUUGAUCUAGAUGCUAUACUCCUAUUGACAUGAAUAGGAGUUCACUUUUUGAAUAAUAAGAAUUAUAUGUCAUGGGGGGGGAGUAUCAGGAUUUUAGAGGUGCUUAGGUGGGGCAUGGACAAAAAAAGGUUGGGAACCACUGCAGCCGCCCUGAGCCCAGCCUUGGCUAGGGAGGACGGGGUAUAAAUAAAAAUUAUUAUUAGUAUUAGUAUUAUAUCUUGAUUUAAUAUUUAAUAUUAAGUUUUGGUAGGGUCUAUGGACCUCACUAACAAUAAAAGCGGCAGGCUAAAAUGGGAGAUUAAAGAAACUAAACAGCAACUCAGUGUCAAAUGAAACACAACAAGGUUUGUGCAUGCAUGAUGGUAUAUAUAUUGUGAAGAGGGAUUGUUGACAAUGCUAGAAUGUUCUCCCUGUUUGCUUGUGAUCCUGUUUUUCCACAGAUGCAGAUUUACAUGUAUUAAUUACCGAUGUUUCUAGGUAACAAAUUUCCAUAUCCAAUUACAGUCUCCAGUUGGACAAUUCUGCAUGCUCAAAUUAGUAAUUGCCUCACAGUUUUUUCCUCAGCUUAAUUAGCAGGACAUCUGGAAAUAAUAAUCUGUUACCUCUAGAACAUUUACCUUCAAAGAAACGAUGCCAACUUUGAACUUCAAAGGCUUCUGUGGACUGUUUCAGCUGGGUGCCCAUUGGUGGGCUCUUUUCGAUCUGACAAACCUGCCUGUGACAGCUGCGUUUCACUUUCUUAUCCUCUCUGGAAAUUCAAAGGUGUGUUUUUGGGGGAGAUAUGUGUGUGGAAUGAGGUGUCUUUUAAUGGAUUUCGAAGUAAUAGGCCCCCCAUCAGAUGGGAAGAUCCUGAUUUUACCUGUAAUCCUCUGCAGUGAUGGGGAUCCUCUGCUCCCAGUACUAUUUUCACAGAAUUGCCUGUCAUGGUAGCAUCCUAAUCCUUUGCCCAGUGAUCUAAAGUAUGGUAAGUUUCUGUGCUGGCAAAGGCUGUAUAAGCUUGGAGGGACUGGCACUAUGACAAGGCUUAAAAGAAAAGCAAAUACUGAGAAGUAACGGGAAAAACAAAACAAAAAACUUGAUGAUUGCUGACCCCAGUGAAAAUCUUUACAUUAGCUGAAGAGAAGCAUUUGCUGUUUAAAGAGCCUGCCUCCGGAGAUUAAAAUCAUCUGUUUUGUGAUCCUUGAAGAAACAAGAGUCUCAAGUGAAUGCUCCUCAAUAACUAACAGAGCCCUGCGUAUUCCCUCAACAGUUAAAUCAGUUCACACAACAAGAGAGAAUAGUCCUCGAGACGGAAUUCUCUCUGAAAUAUUUACAGUUUGCAUAUUUAUUGUAAUGAUGUAUUUAAAAUAAAAAAACCCAAAAAAACUUGCUUCGGGGGGGGGGGAUGCUGAUUUCCUUGUAAGACUCUCCACUGCCUGAAGUUACCCCAAUGCUGUUCUGCGUAGGUUUAUGAACUAUUCACAAACAAUGUUGUAGGAUUUCAGAAACAGACUUGAAAGAGAAGUUGCUGAAUUACAACUUAUCACUAAACUGAAAACUAUGGCGAGACCUGGUCUGAAUAGAGAUGUUGGAUUCCUGUCUCAUUACAUAUACUAAUUGUCUGCAUACAAUUGUCUGCUGUUUCCUGUAAGACUAAUUGCAGUCGUUAACAGUCGUCAACAGGUUUACCAUACCCAUUGAGUCAAUCACCCAUCUCCUACUAUUCUCCUAAGAAAACCCCCACCCUCCCACUAUAUAUAAGGGUCUGGUGACUUCUGUUUCAGUGUAUCUGAAGAAGUGUGCAUGCACACAAAAGCUUAUACCAAGAACAAACUUUGUUGGUCUCUAAGGUGCUACUGGACAUUUUUUUAUUUUUUUAUUUUUUUUAUUUCCAUGCUGUAGGAUGAACAGGAAAUCCAGAAAUCAGACAGGCAACAUUAUCUCGAAUGUGUUCCCGAAGACCCACGGCUCUCUACCACUGAUCUCUUUUAAUCUUCUGGCAGCACUACCUUGUAGACAGCGACAGGUCAAGGCCAAGGGUUUAUAUAAUGCCCCAAGCCAUUCAGCUCAGAAGGCUGAGCUGAGAACCAAUGACAUUAUUAAUAGUUUGUUUGUUGAUUGGUUGGUUGGUUUGUUUAAUUUAGUUAUUUGGUUUUUCAGAUUAAAAAUUUACAGUCAUAUAUCAAAACUUAAAUAUAAAAACAAGAGUCCAAGGAAUCUCCUAGAGUUCCAAUCUCCCCUUUGUGGGUCCUAUUAUGAAUCAUUUCCUCCUGCAUCUUUUAUGAAAAUCCAAUUCUUUCUCAUCUCCAUUGUGUCCACCAUUAAACUACAAGUGAUUUUCUAGUCCAGGCAUAGGCAAACUCCGGCCCUCCAGAUGUUUGGGACGACAAUUCCCAUCAUCCCUGACAACUGGUCCUGUUAGCUAGGGGUUAUGGGAAUUGUAGUCCCAAACAUCUGGAAGGCCGGCGUUUGCCUAUGCCUGUUCUAGUCCUCCUAACGAUUUUAACUGUUUACAAUGGUCUUUAAGAGAAGUUAUAAAUUUUCCCCAUUCCUUAUUAAAAUUCCUGAUUUCUGAUUCUUCCGCUCACUUUAGCCAUUUCGGCAUGGUCCAUCCAUUUAAUCUGCCAUUCUUCUCUGGUAGGGACUUUAUCUUCUUUCCAUCUCUGGGCCAAAAACAUCCACACCGCCACAGUCGCAUACAUAGUCUUUUCUGCUCCUUUGGGGUUUCAGCACCUAUUUUUGCAUGUUUGUUUGUUUGUGUUUACUUACCCUCCACCAGCAGGUCCGAGGGUGGUGGCUUACAGCGAUUUAAAAUUCAAGUUAAAACAAAUUACAGUCAUGGGAAUAGGGCGGAUCCUGCUAACACAUAUCUCAAAGGCCAAGGUAGAGGUGCAUCUUCAGUACACAUCAGGAACUUUUCAUGAACAUUCCAGAAGCAUUUCUGUGUGGUGGGAAUUCCACAACGUAGGGGCUGCCACAGAGGAUGUGCUCUCCUAGGCCACCACCCCUGAGCUUCUGAGGUUGAUGGAGCUGCAAAGAGUGCCCCCUCUGCCCAUCUUAACACCCAAGAGGGUCCUUAGGGAAAGAUUGCAUUAUUAGAGAUAUUUGGGGACCUCAAUCAUAUCUUCGUCUUCUUCUUUGGCAAUCACUCAUAGCUGAGUAAGAUUUGUUGUUUAGUUGUUUAGUCGUGUCCGACUCUUCGUGACCCCAUGGACCAGAGCACGCCAGGCACUUCUGUCUUCCACUGCCUCCCGCAGUUUGGUCAAACUCAUGCUGGUAGCUUCGAGAACACUGUCCAACUAUCUCAUCCUCUGUCGUCCCCUUCUCCUUGUGCCCUCAAUCUUUCCCAACAUCAGGG
RNAcentral lists this long non-coding RNA (11807 nucleotides) under Podarcis lilfordi (Lilford's wall lizard). The record is from RNAcentral. Lineage: Eukaryota; Metazoa; Chordata; Lepidosauria; Squamata; Lacertidae.